UGAUUCUCUUCCCUGGGGAGGAGAGCAGAGGCAACCCAUCCCCCACUCCCGCCCCCACACUCCCCUAAGUCCCAAUCCAUUUCCACCUCUGUUUACUGUCCAAAGUCCCGGGCACUGGAGAUGCCACGUUUGGCGUGCUUGGACACACAGACACGCAGACACAGAGACACCGGGGCCCAGGGCCCUCCUAUGGACCCUGCCCGCUCCCACUCCAUCGUCCACGGCUGUCCACCCACCCCCAUUCUCCAAGCUUCAGCCCCCCUCCUUAGUCCGGCUUCUGCACAGCACUGAAGAACCUGGGCCUCAGACCCUGAGACCCCAACUCUAGUCCUGGUGAGCCCCCACCUCAGCCCCAGCCUCAGCCUUGACUCAGUCCCAGCUCCAGCACCAGCCCUAUCAUGACCAAGGAGUAUCAGGACCUGCAGCAUCUGGACAAUGAGGAGAGUGACCACCAUCAGCUCGGAAAAGGGCCACCUCCUCCGCAGUCCCUCCUGCGGCGUCUCUGCUCCGGCCCUCGCCUCCUCCUGCUCUCCCUGGGCCUCAGCCUCCUGCUGCUGGUGGUUGUCUGUGUGAUCGGAUCCCAAAACGCCCAGCUGCAGCGGGAGCUGCGGGGCCUGAGAGAGACGUUCAGCAACUUCACGGCGAGCACCGAGGCCCAGGUCAAGGGCUUGAGCACCCAGGGAGGCAAUGUGGGAAGAAAGAUGAAGUCGCUGGAGUCCCAGCUGGAGAAACAGCAGAAGGACCUGAGUGAAGAUCACUCCAGCCUGCUGCUCCACGUGAAGCAGUUCGUGUCUGACCUGCGGAGCCUGAGCUGUCAGAUGGCGGCGCUCCAGGGCAAUGGCUCAGAAAGGGCCUGCUGCCCAGUCAACUGGGUGGAGCACGAGCGCAGCUGCUACUGGUUCUCUCGCUCCGGGAAGGCCUGGGCCGACGCCGACAACUACUGCCGGCUGGAGGACGCGCACCUGGUGGUGGUCACGUCCUGGGAGGAGCAGAAAUUUGUCCAGCACCACAUAGGUCCUGUGAACACCUGGAUGGGCCUCCACGACCAAAACGGGCCCUGGAAGUGGGUGGACGGGACGGACUACGAGACGGGCUUCAAGAACUGGAGACCGGAGCAGCCGGACGACUGGUACGGCCACGGGCUCGGGGGAGGGGAGGACUGUGCCCACUUCACCGACGACGGCCGCUGGAACGACGACGUCUGCCAGAGGCCCUACCGCUGGGUCUGCGAGACAGAGCUGGACAAGCAAACAGAAGCAGCGUUCACAGACAUAGAAUUGUGAACAAAAAUUGCCGAAGUAUUCACCCAUAAACAAGACCUCAAGUGAUUCCUAAAAGGAACAAUGCUCUGACCACAGUAAAAUAAGGGCUGGAAGCCAGAUGGCAAGGGAGCAAUUUGAUGCAGUCAUACCGCUCAGCCUCCCAGUCCACAGAACAACCUGGAGAAGGAUAGAGAGUGGAUCUGGAAGGACAAAUGGAAGACAUUCAACACAGAAGGAGCCCGAGAUGAAGAAGUCCACAGGAACCCUAUUGGAAAAGUAGCACCAGGUAUAAACAAGCAGUUCACAGGUGAGGAAGCCUGGGGUUCUAAUGCGUCUAUGAAGACAUGCUUACAAUCGCUAGUGACUAACCAGAGAAAUCAAACACGCGUGAGCCAUCUCUUUACACCCAUCCAAUUGACAAACAUUAGGAGGAAGUCAAGUGCUGUCAAGGUUGUGGGAGAAGCUGCUGAUGGGAGGACACAUUGGAAUAGACGUUCUGCAAGAUAUUUAGUGGAAUUAAGAGUGCAUAUUUUCAGGUUGGGUGUGGUGGCUCACGUCUGUAAUCCCAG
Molecule: RNA transcript, 1831 nt
Organism: Cercocebus atys (sooty mangabey)
Lineage: Eukaryota; Metazoa; Chordata; Mammalia; Primates; Cercopithecidae
Gene: ASGR1
Gene name: asialoglycoprotein receptor 1
Exons: 11
Source: RefSeq, a predicted model, not a curated record